This 441-nucleotide ribosomal RNA is filed under the name Elysia diomedea. RNAcentral's name for it is "partial 16S ribosomal RNA". It matches the Rfam family "Bacterial large subunit ribosomal RNA", at positions 1832 to 2601 of the family's 2925-position model. The record is from RNAcentral. Lineage: Eukaryota; Metazoa; Mollusca; Gastropoda; Plakobranchidae.
AGCUUUAAGUUUUAUUUAAGGUGAUGCCUGCCCAGUGCUGAUAGUAAACGGCCGCAGUACCUUGACUGUGCUAAGGUAGCAUAAUCAGUUGGCUUUUAAAUGGAGUCGGGAAUGAAUGGAUUUAUGGGGUGAAACUGUCUCCUUUAUAUUAUAUUGAACUUACUCAAUAGGUGAAAAUGCCUAUAAAUAGAAAAAAGACGAGAAGACCCUAGGAGUUUUUACUAAAUGUUAAAUUUCAUAUUAACUGUUGUUUUUGUUGGGGCGACAAGGGAGCAUUAAGAAUAAACCUCCUCUUUUAAUUUGCCGACAUAGUAUGAGAAAAUAAACUACCCUAGGGAUAACAGCGUAAUUCUUAAGAGCUUGCGACCUCGAUGUUGGACUAGGAAUUUGGUAGGCUAGCCGCCUAUUUAUAUUGUUCUGUUCGAACUGUUUUUCCUACAU